This is a non-coding RNA of Myotis brandtii (Brandt's bat), 75 nucleotides long. The record is from Rfam. NCBI's taxonomy places the organism in Eukaryota, Metazoa, Chordata, Mammalia, Chiroptera, Vespertilionidae.
GGUGGUUUUCAGGUUAUGCACUUUGGAAUUGGGCUCCCUCCUCUCUGGUUCCCUGUGUGUCACCCAAGAACUGAA